Molecule: long non-coding RNA, 209 nt
Filed under: Nicotiana benthamiana
Lineage: Eukaryota; Viridiplantae; Streptophyta; Magnoliopsida; Solanales; Solanaceae
Description: long non-coding RNA (NBEN_LNC034878)
Source: RNAcentral
AAAGAAGAAGGUUUCAAGACUUCACAGAAGCAAAUAUACCCUAGUACUAAUUUUUGGAAGAGGCAACUUCUUUAAGUUUUUCAUUCCCAAAACACUGCAAUUCUUAUGUCAAAGUUCAAAACCCUUUCAAUUCAAAGUUCUGAAAGAAAAAAAUUAUGUUUCAAAGAACUUUCAGCUUUAAAAUCUAGACCUUUUUUUUAAUGUUUUUU